GACGAACGCUGGCGGCGUGCUUAACACAUGCAAGUCGAACGGAAAGGCCCUGCUUUUGUGGGGUGCUCGAGUGGCGAACGGGUGAGUAACACGUGAGUAACCUGCCCUUGACUUUGGGAUAACUUCAGGAAACUGGGGCUAAUACCGGAUAGGAGCUCCUGCUGCAUGGUGGGGGUUGGAAAGUUUCGGCGGUUGGGGAUGGACUCGCGGCUUAUCAGCUUGUUGGUGGGGUAGUGGCUUACCAAGGCUUUGACGGGUAGCCGGCCUGAGAGGGUGACCGGCCACAUUGGGACUGAGAUACGGCCCAGACUCCUACGGGAGGCAGCAGUGGGGAAUAUUGCACAAUGGGCGGAAGCCUGAUGCAGCAACGCCGCGUGCGGGAUGACGGCCUUCGGGUUGUAAACCGCUUUCGCCUGUGACGAAGCGUGAGUGACGGUAAUGGGUAAAGAAGCACCGGCUAACUACGUGCCAGCAGCCGCGGUGAUACGUAGGGUGCGAGCGUUGUCCGGAUUUAUUGGGCGUAAAGGGCUCGUAGGUGGUUGAUCGCGUCGGAAGUGUAAUCUUGGGGCUUAACCCUGAGCGUGCUUUCGAUACGGGUUGACUUGAGGAAGGUAGGGGAGAAUGGAAUUCCUGGUGGAGCGGUGGAAUGCGCAGAUAUCAGGAGGAACACCAGUGGCGAAGGCGGUUCCCUGGGCCUUUCCUGACGCUGAGGAGCGAAAGCGUGGGGAGCGAACAGGCUUAGAUACCCUGGUAGUCCACGCUGUAAACGGUGGGUACUAGGUGUGGGGUCCAUUCCACGGGUUCCGUGCCGUAGCUAACGCUUUAAGUACCCCGCCUGGGGAGUACGGCCGCAAGGCUAAAACUCAAAGGAAUUGACGGGGCCCCGCACAAGCGGCGGAGCAUGCGGAUUAAUUCGAUGCAACGCGUAGAACCUUACCUGGGUUUGACAUGGAUCGGGAGUGCUCAGAGAUGGGUGUGCCUCUUUUGGGGUCGGUUCACAGGUGGUGCAUGGCUGUCGUCAGCUCGUGUCGUGAGAUGUUGGGUUAAGUCCCGCAACGAGCGCAACCCUUGUUCACUGUUGCCAGCACGUUAUGGUGGGGACUCAGUGGAGACCGCCGGGGUCAACUCGGAGGAAGGUGGGGAUGACGUCAAGUCAUCAUGCCCCUUAUGUCCAGGGCUUCACGCAUGCUACAAUGGCUGGUACAGAGAGUGGCGAGCCUGUGAGGGUGAGCGAAUCUCGGAAAGCCGGUCUCAGUUCGGAUUGGGGUCUGCAACUCGACCUCAUGAAGUCGGAGUCGCUAGUAAUCGCAGAUCAGCAACGCUGCGGUGAAUACGUUCCCGGG
This 1343-nucleotide ribosomal RNA is filed under the name uncultured bacterium. RNAcentral describes it as "16S ribosomal RNA". It matches the Rfam family "Bacterial small subunit ribosomal RNA", at positions 28 to 1378 of the family's 1533-position model. The record is from RNAcentral.